UGGCUCUCGCAUCGAUGAAGAACGCAGCGAAAUGCGAUAAGUAAUGUGAAUUGCAGAAUUCAGUGAAUCAUCGAAUCUUUGAACGCAAAUUGCGCCCUUUGGUAUUCCGAAGGGCAUGCCUGUUUGAGUGUCAUAUAGACCUCACCCAGACUGGUUUUCUAAUCAGCCUGCUGGUGCUUUGGACGUUUUGCCGGAUUCACGUCUGGCUCGUCUUAAAUGUCUAAGUGGAAAAGAGCGUGAUAAGUCUUCGCUCCAUCCCUCCACUCUAAUACACCUUUUGACUCUGGCCUCAAAUCAGGUAGGACUACCCGCUGA
This 315-nucleotide unclassified non-coding RNA is filed under the name uncultured fungus. RNAcentral's name for it is "partial contains 5.8S ribosomal RNA and internal transcribed spacer 2". The stretch from base 1 to 133 matches the Rfam family "5.8S ribosomal RNA", at positions 22 to 154 of the family's 154-position model. The record is from RNAcentral. Lineage: Eukaryota; Fungi.